RNAcentral lists this ribosomal RNA (433 nucleotides) under uncultured bacterium. RNAcentral's name for it is "partial 16S ribosomal RNA". It matches the Rfam family "Bacterial small subunit ribosomal RNA", at positions 29 to 507 of the family's 1533-position model. The record is from RNAcentral.
AACGAACGCUGGCGGCAUGCCUAACACAUGCAAGUCGAACGAGACCUUCGGGUCUAGUGGCGCACGGGUGCGUAACGCGUGGGAACCUGCCCUUAGGUUCGGAAUAACUCCCCGAAAGGGGUGCUAAUACCGGAUAAUGUCUUCGGACCAAAGAUCUAUCGCCUUUGGAUGGGCCCGCGUUGGAUUAGCUAGUUGGUAGGGUAAAAGCCUACCAAGGCGACGAUCCAUAGCUGGUCUGAGAGGAUGAUCAGCCACACUGGGACUGAGACACGGCCCAGACUCCUACGGGAGGCAGCAGUGGGGAAUAUUGGACAAGGGGCGAAAGCCUGAUCCAGCAAUGCCGCGGGAGUGAUGAAGGCCUUAGGGUUGUAAAGCUCUUUUACCCGGGAUGAUAAUGACAGUACCGGGAGAAUAAGCACCGGCUAACUCCGUG